UUUAGCUCUAGCUGGCUUAAAAUUUAGCCCCAUCUAGUAAUUGAACAGUGCUUUUAGGUAUCUGGAAUAAAAACGUUUCUCUCCCCUGUGGCUGCUGCUCCUUCUGCUUUCCCCCCAAGACAGCAGGAGUCUGUGAAGGAGAAGAGGGGCUUUUAGGACCUGGAGGGCCAUGAGGAAGACUCGGGGUCCCAACCUCUGACCUCCAGUUCCUUGGAUCUCCAGGCCAGGACCUCUUUCUCCCCCUAUUGCCAGCUGGAAUUCACGGCUGACGUCUAGCUCCGGUGGGACUCCUGGUCUGCUGUCUCUUGGCUCGGGUGCAUACCUGCCAUAAUCUUAUUCAGCCCGGAAGGCCACCUGCAGCCUCUGCUGUGGGGUCCCCUCUCGUGCCACAGCAGGCUCUCACUUGCUGUCCGGGUCACGGGGGAACUUCGAACUAGCUCGGGGAAGCCCAUGCUCCAGGCCUCUCUCUGCAGGAUGUGCUGUGGCAUUCAGGUUUUGCAGGGGGGCAGCCCAAGACUCAUGUGUGGUCCUUUCAGCAUCCUCUCUCUGUCUCCUGUAUCCAGCUAUUGGGAGAACUCCAGGAGACCCCAUCUUUCUAAAUGUGAGGAAGCUGACAGGGAAAGAGAUCUCUCUCCCUCGUGCAUGCACACUUCCCCUUGCGGACGUCUGUGUCUUCUUUCCCCAUCGGAGCAGAGACCACGAGAAGCAGACCCUGAGACGGGAAUUCCUGGGAGAACGAUUUCAGGAGAAGGAAAGUGAGAAGAGCAGAAGAGCCGAGAGGAAAAGGCUGAACUGGGAAUCAUUCCAGCUGGAGUCCAGCCCGAUCCCACCGGGAGCCCUGGAGCGAGAACUGCACCAGAAAGAAUGCUCCCCUUGAGGCCACAAGACGUUGAAAGCACGGCUUAAGUCAAGGAGGAAAAUAUUCCCAUCUGUAAGCUGGUAAUAUGCAUUCAAUACUUUUCAAUUGCUUGAGCUACGAAAUAUGAUGAUAGCCAUCUAUAUAUCUCACGAGGAAAAGAUACCUUGAAAUUCCCUCGGCCACAGUGCUGAUGGGGAGGCAUUUCUGCAGGAAAUCUGCAAAAUGGCGGUAGGCUCGUAAUAGGGCCACUGCUGCAAUGACCUCGGUGUUUCGGUGGAAGCCUGGGAGGCCGGCUCCAUGAUGGGCCAUAGAGGCACCAUCUCGUGCAGUAGUAAGACGUCGGGGAAAAAGGAAAAUCACCCCGUUGACUGCAGACUGCCAUGCUCUGUCGCUUUUCCUCUCCAAGAGGACAGAUGACAGGCUCUGAAACUUGACCACCAUUUCCUUUCCCAGUUAAUCAACAUUAGGGUAAUUGGCACAUUACAUCUCUUGUACAGUGUUGUGUCUGUGCUCAUGGCUCUCCAUAAAUAAUGAGCAAUCGAAGUAAUGACCAGAAAUGUGUGCGAGCUAUCGCAGCGAGCACAUAACGGAUGCCCUGUUUGUCUUCACGGACUGUAGCACCGGCGUGUGACUGAUGAGGCUUUCAAACGCUCUGGGUCACCUGAGGCUGGAGAGAUGCUCCGUCAAGUUGGAGUCUGUUCCUCUCCGCACAGAGCUUCAGAGUGUCUCAAUAUUUGCUUUCGGUCCGCUGUUUAAAAACGGAAAAUAUUUAGCCCAGCUCGUCAAUCACCAUGCCUGCCAAUUGUUUUUGUCCCUCCCUCUGCUUUUGGAGAAAGCCACUGGAAACACCCAAGCAAUAUAAAUGGCUCUGAGUUGCGUCUGUUUUUAGCACACGAUGUUUGAGCGCGCAAGUCAGGGCUCAUUAAAAAUCCGAAUGUGGUAGCUUAUAGAAUUGGCCACUUUAAACACAGUUUGUCUGCACGCCAGCAGUUCUGAAACUGUUUUAUAGCAGUCUGGGUUUUUAUGAGGCAUCUCUCGGUAUCUAUGGGCAUAACACACUUCAGAAUUUUCCCCAAGGUUCAGCUGGGCACGGCAUCCGCAGCCACUCCAGCCAGCGAAGAAGUGAGCCCUUCACGGUCGCUGGGGAAAGCAGCUGUGACUUUGUCAGUGUCGGCACCAGCGUGUGACAGUUACGAGGCAAGGAGAAAUGAAGCCAGAAAGGGAAGACAGUGAACACAGGGUGCUUGGUGAGUAAGUCACCACUGGGGACAAGAGGGGCUCUGCCUCACUGGGCGGCCCUGGGGGAGGACUUAGAAUAGCAUCAGGAUGAUCCCACCUGGGGUGUGUGAGAGCUGUUCUUCAUAUAACAGCUCUUUGAGCAUCUGGGAAACAUCCCUUAGGCAUAGAAAUGCAGAUACUGCUAAGAGGAGCCAGUAGGUGCUUACUAAAAUAGUCAGGUCCCAAGGGAAGAUGCGGACUGGGUCUACCCAUUUUGCAGAUCAGGAAACUGAUGCUGACUGAGAGAAGUUCAGUCAUUAGCUCUCUGCCACUGACUUAUAGUGGAUCUGGAGAUUCCCACUGUCCCGUUGAUGCAGUCUCUCCCUCCCACUCCGUGCCCCAUGCUCAGCACCAAGAGGAACCGAGCAUCUGAUACAGGAAAGGGCACAGACAACAUCCAGGACCAAACUGCCAGCACCUGGGCCCCAGGGCCUUUGCUCUAUCAUCCUUAGGCUCCCACUGGGGUAUAGCACAUGCCUUUCCUGCUUGUACUUGGAGGUUGAGGCGUAUGCUGAAUUUGGACUGGUCCCUACUUGUAAUGUGAGGACGGCAUGUGAAAGAGGAAAAGUCCACUAUUGGAAAAGAAGAUGGAUAUAUGGGAUAAAAUCAUGACGCCUCCCGGGGGGAUGAAACUCACAGCUCAGUCUUUGCAGGGAGAAGAUUUUUAAAAGCACAGGCCACAGUAAAAGAAAUUCAAAUGAAUUUCAUUCCUAAGUCAUGUUUCUCCAAAGAUUACAGACAGUCCAUCUUAAAACCCUCACACACACUUCCUAAAGCCCCUCCCUUCUUGUCCCCAAUCCCCAGCUGCUCCCAAGGCUCCUAUGUGCCAAACUUACCCCCCCCGCCUCCAACAACUCUUUCUUGGAGAUUGAGUUCCAUCGUGUGAUCAAUGAUGCAAUCAAUCAUGCCUACAUAAUGAAACCCCCAAUAAAAACUCUGGAUACCGAAGCUCAGCCGAGCUUUAGGUUGGUAAUCAGACAUCUAUGUGUGGGGAGCAUCUGAAGAUGCAAAGCUUGUCUUUGGGGCCCUCCCAGUGCUAGCCCUGGGGAUCUCCUCUUUUGGGUGGUCCUAAUUUGUGUCCUUUAUAAUAAAACAGUAAUAGUAUUGUGCUCCCUUGAGUUCUGGGAGUUGCUCUAGUGAAUUAUCGAGGCUGACGGAGGACAGAUGGUCAGAAGUGCAGGUGGCCCGGGGACUUCUGAGCUUGUGGUGGUGUCUGAUGUGAGGACAGUCUCUAUCUGUGAAAUGUGACCUAACUCAUGAAUUAGGAAGUUAGUGUAAGAACUGCAUUGCCACAUGUUUUCGCCGGAUGGUGGCUAAGAUGAUACAAUAUAGAUGAGAGCUUUUCAUUUCUUCCUGGAGAAAUCUCUAUGGGGUGUGACUAAUUCAUUAUUCUAGGACCCCUUCUUUUUCCCUUAGAGUUUAGAGUUCUGCCCUUAUGUUUUGUUUUCUUUCUUUCUUUUUCUUUCUUUCUUUUUUUUUUUUUACUAAAGAUGAGGAUAAGGGUGGAAAAUUAUUGUCUGGGGACUGACAACCAGGCCACAAUGAACUGGCAGUCCCCCAACCUAAGUCCCGUCUGGGUUUCUGUCUUAGGAGGAGAUGGGGAGUCAGGGUCAGAGGCCGACUUCAUGAAGACUCCUAACCUCCCUCCACUUAAUGGCUCCGUGUAAAUACUUCCAAAAGAGCCAACAGAUUAAUGCCUCAUAAGACCUUUUAAAGUCUUGUAAGUGGCAAAGAAACUAAAAAGAAGACCCAAUUUGUUUGGUUCAGAGUUAUUGGGGUCAAGCUGGGUUUGGUUUCUUUUGUUUACUCAUCAGUUUCCAAAAUAAAUUUCGGAAGGACAGAGACCAUUAAGAAUAAAAGAUGCUCCAGUGUACCUGAGGCUGUUUGAGAACCAGGUAAAAAGGCAAUAAAAUAUCAAACUGUGGCUGGGAGUUUUUCAAAUGCCAAGGACAAAAGCAGUAGACAGAAGUACAAACUGUGGACCAUGGAUCUUGGCCAGAUCAUGCCUUCUCCUCCCAGUUUUCCAGGGCAAAAGGUCCCCAUCAGGUAGAUGUGAAAGGGAAAUGCACUAUUUGUGUUUGAGCCUGGAAUCUGGGGUCCCUGGGAAUAUUCAUUUCAGUUAUGCAACAGAUAUUUGUUGAGCCUAAAUUGUGCCUGGCCCACCUUGAGCCACUUUUGCUAGGAGGAUUCUCAGAGGCUUUAAAUAGCUCCAUAGCCCACGUGCAGCAGGUCUGGGGACAGCUCGAGCACCUUGAUGUCCUAUAAACCUGGGCCAAAAUCAUCCGUCUUCCACCCACCAGCUCGGCCAUCUUGGGCAACCUCAGUUCUCUCUCAUUCAUAAAAAUGGAGAUACUAGUAACUACUUGUAGUGGGUUAAAUAGCAUCCCCACCCUCAAGUUCAUGUCCCCCGGAACCUCAGAAUGUGGCCGUAUUUAGAAACAGGAUCUCUGCAGAUAUAGUUAAUUAAAGGUCUUGAGAUGAGAUCGUCCUGGAUUUAGGGUGGACCCACAUCCAAUGAAGAAGAGGAAAGCACACAGAGAGACACAUCCUGGGGAAGGCCACAUGAAGAUGGAGGCAGAAAUUGGAGUGAGGUGUGUACACACCAGGGAAUGCCGAGCAUUGCAGGCAACCGCCAGGAGCUGGGGGAGAGAGACACGGAGCAGAUUCUCCCUCUGGGCUUCUGGAAGGAACCAGUCCUGCGUACACCUUGGUCUCCUACGUCUAAGCUCCAGAACUGUGAAAGAAUAUAUUUCCAUUGUUUUAAGCCACUCAGUUUGUGGCAAUUUAUUCCAGCAGCCCAAGGAACGAAGCUAGCACUCUACAGAGACUUAGGAUACAGUAUGAAAAGAUGGAUGCAAGUGUUUCAUUGAUGCAAACAGGCAACCAAUCCUAGUUCUUCUUUCUAUUCUCAGUUGUUUUCACAGGUGACAUUGGAGCUGUGGGUUAACAUUCAGCUACCUCUCUCAGCUUCCUGAUGUAUUCACCAAAAAACGUCCUAGGGUAGGUUCAACCUUCGUGCCUGAGUUUGGGCAUUUGCUGUUGAGUUUCUCAUUUAUUUUCACCUGUGUAGCAGACAUUGCUGGUGCCCUGUCCACAGGCCCUUGGCAGUCCUCAUUUCCAUGCACACUGACUCGCCGCUGGCUUGUAACUGCCGCAGCUACAACUCUUUCUGAGAACUCCCUCUGGCUGCUGGCACCUGCUUGGUUUGCACAGGGGACAGAGAGCGGAGCACCCCCCCCCCCCCCCCCCCCCCCCCGGAAUACCUUUCAACCGAUGACUGAGAGCCAGUGAGUAAAUUCUCCAGCUCCUCGUCCCCUGGCUAGGAUGGCUCUGGGGUGUGAACCACAAUGUCCCGCUCUCCCCCAGCAGGACUGAGACCCAGUUCCCACAGGGGUGAGCUGCUUGGUGACAUGCACAGUAUUGGCUUUCUUCCUCUCUUGGUGUCCUGUGGCUUCCAUAACAAAAAUGACCACAAAGUUGGUAGCUUAAGACAACAGACUCUAUUCUCUCAUGGCUCUAGAGGCCGGAAGUCCCAACUCAGUAUCCCUGGGCUGAAAUCAAGUGUCAGUGGGGUCACACUCCUUCCUGAGGCCCGAGGGGAGAGUCUGUCCCUUGCGACUUCCAGUUUCUGGGGGCUGUCAGCAGUCCCUGGCAUUCCUUGGCUUAUGGCCACAUCCCUCCAACCUCGGCCUCUGUCUCCACAUGGCCUUCUCCUCUGUAGUCAAAUGUCCCUCUGCCUCCCUCUCAUAAGGAAAUCUGUGACUGUAUUAAGGGCCCACCCAAAUAAUCCAGGAUGAGCUCCCUACCUCAAGAUCCUUAACUUAACCACACCUGCCAUGUCCCUUUUUGCCGUGGAAGGUAACAGUCAGAGGGUCCAGGAGUUAGGACCUGGAUAUCUUUUCAGGAGGGUGGCAUUAUUUGGCUGAGCACAUUUCCUUUCCUCAGUGCUUCCUGGGGUUGAAUUCCCAAUAAACUGCUUAUACUCACCUCCUUGUGUCCGAGUCGGCUUCUGGAGCGACCUCACUUCUGACAGUAUCGUUUCAGAGGCAACGAGAUUCACUCUUUCAAGAAAUCAUUUACUAAUCUGUUGCACUCACGUUUCACUAACAGUUAUACUUACAUGACUAAGCUUGUUAAAUUCUUUGAGGGUUAUUCAUUAACUCACAACCGUAAUGCCAAGGCGGAGGGCGUGAAUGGCUCGAAUAGGCUUUUGGAUAAUAAUAAUUCAAGAAAAAAAAUCAGGAG
Molecule: long non-coding RNA, 6382 nt
Organism: Equus quagga
Lineage: Eukaryota; Metazoa; Chordata; Mammalia; Perissodactyla; Equidae
Exons: 3
Source: RefSeq, a predicted model, not a curated record